AUGGAUGUAUUCAACACAUGGGCACGCUGCAGCAUACCCUUGGUGGUCAGAGGACAUCUUUUGGAAGUACAUCCUCUCUGUUCCCUAUGUGAUCCGGGGAACUACAGCCUCCUCUCUGGUAAAUACAAAACUCAAGGAAAACAACAAGUGUUUGGACUUUGCUGAGGACACAGUUAAUAUUUGCAUCAGAGGACCAUCAACACAUGGAAAAGGUGCUAAUCCAGGCAGUCCACCUGAGUACAGAGGAGGAGGAGCGCUGAAUGACUGAAAACUGCCUCUUCUUACUACAAGCAGAAUGUCCUUCCUUGACUGCGUUCUUCCGCCUGGGCAGGAUGCCUGUCUUGAAGAGUCCUUUAAUUUAUCAGUGAAGGUUCUAUUCUUGGAGCUUUAUUUCAGAUGAAGACUUGCUGCCUUAGCCAUCUCUGUGGAAAUGGGGCCAAGAAGACCUGUGGACAGCAGCGCCUAAUGCAUCUUUGGGAAUGCUUCAUCUGCCCAACAUUGUGGAACAAGAGGACGUGCUAUACAGAAGACUUUCUCAAAUAGCUAGCAUUUGCCAACUUGAGCUGCAAAGCACAGAUACACAAGCCAAUUCUGAUAGACUCAGAAAUACUUGCAAGCAUUUCUAAGGGUCUCAGAACUGUUGACAUUUCUUUCUCACUGGACCAAGGACUCUACCGACACCAAGUACCAGAUGCAGAACUGAAGCCCUAGGCUGUACCUGUAGGUCAUGGAGGAGCACCUGCUCGAACUGUUCACUAAGAGUCAACAAAGAUGAGAGCCAUCUAGAACAUUCCUCACAAGGUCUGAGGGAAUAGUUGAGGCCAUCUGGCAUGUGUCCUUGCUCAUGAAGAUAUAUGAGAAUGACAGAGGCCAGGCCUGAGGAAGAUGGUGGAUGCUAGAGAGAGUGGACAGCAACUGGAUGGAAAGUGGAAGACUGAUGUGCAACCCUGAGUCCUAAUCAGCUGGCUCAGAGCCCCUGUGAGCAGACAUUGUGCUAUAAAGAACCCUAAUGUAAGCAGACACUUUGUAGGGCUCUAAUAUGCUAUCCUGUGUUCCCUAUAAGUAUACACUAUACAGAAGCCUAGUAUCCCACCCUGGGAUCCCCAAAGAGUAUUCAGUGUACAUAAUCCUGAAACCUGAAUCAGACAAAGCUGUUUAUUUAUGACAUCAUACUGAGACUGAGGCAAAACCACUUCUGGGAUCAUUCCUGGACAUUACAAAGAUAAGUCCACAGCAGCCACAGAUGCCACUUCCCUGGCUCAUUUGAUGACUAGAAGAGCUGCUGCUUUCCUCAGGCUUCCUGUCAGAGACUCCUAUCCAGUUGAACACCCUUUCAGGGUCCCAGCGGGCCUUUGUCUUAGUUAUAGUUUCUAUUGCUGACCAUGAACAAAAGCAACUUGGGGAGGAAAGAAUCUAUUUCAUUCUAUAGCCAUAUAUAGUCCAUCAUCUAGGGAAAUGAGGGUAGGAGCUCAAGACUGGCACUGAUGCAUAGACCAUGGAAGACUGCCUGCUCACUUAUAACGUGAUCACCCUGCUCUUCUACACCACCGAUGACCACCCAUCAAAGGGUGUCACCACCUAUGGUGAGCUGGACCUAAUCAUCAACCAUCAGUCAAGAAAAAGCACCAUAGGCUUGUUCGUAGGCUAAUCUUGUUAGGAGCAUUUUCUCAAUUUAGAUUCCCUCCUCCAAAAUGGCUGUAGCUUGUGUCGAGUUGACAGAGAACUAGCCAGCACAGACUUAGUAGCAUCUAUAUUCCUACUUCCCUACCAAAAACCUACCUCAGCUCCCUGUCCUGUGUCUGUCUCAUAUUAAAUUCAUUAAGUCCCAGAAUUUUCUUGAGUGUGCCCUGGGUGGUCACAGGCAGAAGGGUAUCCUCUACAUCCUGAGUUGGGACAUCACUGCAAGGCUUGGGGCAGCUAGCAAGCAGGGGCAUGCACAGGGGCUGUGAGGACUGACAAUUCAGCAGGGUAGAUGGGGAGAAUGCAGCUGCCUUUGUGGGAACUAUCUGGCCCAAACAAUAAUUUCCACAGUAACCAGGAAUGUAGAUGGGUACUAAACCCCAGGCCAUGAAGCAUGUUUUAUUCCUAGAUACCCCCAAAAGAAACUGAAUCCCAUCCCACAUGGCUUCAAUGGAGCCCUCUCUUCUGCCUUCAAAGGUAGGAAUUGAAAAGAGAAUACUGAAGUAAAUGCUUCCCUGUUUAGCCAGCCCUGGGUGAGCAUGCGGUACACAAGCUGGAGCUAUCACAG
RNAcentral lists this small RNA (2248 nucleotides) under Rattus norvegicus (Norway rat). RNAcentral's name for it is "uncharacterized LOC102555048". Lineage: Eukaryota; Metazoa; Chordata; Mammalia; Rodentia; Muridae. The record is from RNAcentral.